UUCGCAAUGCCCGAAAGGGUGACGAAGCGACGCCGCGUGCGGGGAGAAGGCCUUCGGGUUGUAAACCGCUGUCGGGAGUUAGGAAUGCAAGGAUGUUAAUAGCGUCUUUGCUUGACUAAGGCUCCGGAGGAAGCCACGGCUAACUCUGUGCCAGCAGCCGCGGUAAUACAGAGGCGGCAAGCGUUGUUCGGAAUUAUUGGGCGUAAAGAGCACGUAGGCGGCUGUGUAAGUCGGUUGUGAAAGCCUUCCGCUCGACGGGAGAACGGCAUCCGAUACUGCAUAGCUAGAGUGCGGGAGGGGAGAGUGGAACUUCUGGUGGAGCGGUGAAAUGCGUAGAUAUCAGAAGGAACACCGGCGACGAAGGCGACUCUCUGGCCCGUAACUGACGCUGAGUGUGCGAAAGCUAGGGGAGCAAACGGGAUUAGAUACCCCGGUAGUCCUAGCCGUAAACGAUGGGCACUAAGUAGAGGGGUUUU
RNAcentral lists this ribosomal RNA (476 nucleotides) under uncultured anaerobic ammonium-oxidizing bacterium. RNAcentral's name for it is "bacterial SSU rRNA". It matches the Rfam family "Bacterial small subunit ribosomal RNA", at positions 365 to 832 of the family's 1533-position model. The record is from RNAcentral.